CAGCGCCGCGGUAAUACGGAGGGUGCAAGCGUUAAUCGGAAUUACUGGGCGUAAAGCGCACGCAGGCGGUCUGACAAGUCAGAUGUGAAAUCCCCGGGCUUAACCUGGGAACUGCAUUUGAAACUGUCAGGCUGGAGUCUUGUAGAGGGGGGUGGAAUUCCAGGUGUAGCGGUGAAAUGCGUAGAGAUCUGGAGGAAUACCGGUGGCGAAGGCGGCCCCCUGGACAAAGACUGACGCUCAGGUGCGAAAGCGUGGGGAGCAAACAGGAUUAGAUACCCCUGUAGUCCCUGUCUCUUAUACA
RNAcentral lists this ribosomal RNA (301 nucleotides) under uncultured bacterium. Its description in RNAcentral is "partial 16S ribosomal RNA". It matches the Rfam family "Bacterial small subunit ribosomal RNA", at positions 509 to 808 of the family's 1533-position model. The record is from RNAcentral.